Molecule: ribosomal RNA, 705 nt
Filed under: uncultured bacterium
Lineage: Bacteria
Description: bacterial SSU rRNA
Rfam family: Bacterial small subunit ribosomal RNA
Source: RNAcentral
GAACGGGGAUGCCAUUUUUGAAGCGAUUAGCUUGCUAAGAGUGGAAAUGUUGGCAUCUUAGUGGCGGACGGGUGAGUAACGCGUGGGGAACCUGCCCUGUACAGGGGGAUAACACUUAGAAAUAGGUGCUAAUACCGCAUAAGCGCACAGUAUCGCAUGAUACAAUGUGAAAAACUCCGGUGGUACAGGAUGGACCCGCGUCUGAUUAGCUGGUUGGCGGGGUAACGGCCCACCAAGGCGACGAUCAGUAGCCAGCCUGAGAGGGUGACCGGCCACAUUGGGACUGAGACACGGCCCAAACUCCUACGGGAGGCAGCAGUGGCCCCUCUCCCCAUAAUGGGGGGAACCCUGAUCCAGCGACGCCGCGUGAGUGAAGAAGUAUUUCUGUAUCCAAAAAUCUAUCAGCAGGGAAGAAAAUGACAAAAAAAAACUUUGUAGCCCCGGCUAAGUGGGUGCCAGCAGCCGCGGUAAUACGUAGGGGGCAAGCGUUAUCCGGAUUUACUGGGUGUAAAGGGAGCGUAGACGGUGCAGCAAGUCUGAUGUGAAAGGUCGGGGCCCAACCCCGGGACUGCAUUGGAAACUGUUGAACUGGAGUACAGGAGAGGUAAGCCGAAUUCCUAGUGUAGCGGUGAAAUGCGUAGAUUUUUUAGAGAACACCAGUGGCGAAGGCGGCUUACUGGACUGUAACUGACGUUGAGGCUCGAA